This 24-nucleotide microRNA is filed under the name Homo sapiens (human). RNAcentral describes it as "Hsa-Mir-3690_5p (mature (guide))". Lineage: Eukaryota; Metazoa; Chordata; Mammalia; Primates; Hominidae. The record is from RNAcentral.
ACCUGGACCCAGCGUAGACAAAGA